This is a long non-coding RNA of Zea mays, 413 nucleotides long. RefSeq lists it as uncharacterized. The transcript is spliced from 2 exons. Lineage: Eukaryota; Viridiplantae; Streptophyta; Magnoliopsida; Poales; Poaceae. The record is from RefSeq and is a predicted model, not a curated record.
CAGUCUACCAAGUCUUCAAAAUCAAGAAGCACAAAGCGGUCGUAUCUUGGAGAAGGCCGAAGCUGAAAGAGAAUCAUGGGGUGAAAAUCCCUUCUAUGACAAAAAUUACAGACACUAAACCUCUUCAAAAUCCACCUAGCAGCUUGAAGACAACCUUUGCCCACGAGCCUCAUGCAAGCUUUUUAGUUGCAUCAGACUGAAGACGACCUUCCCAAAUUUCUGACUCUCAGUAUACUGUACCUUGUUACAUCCACUGCCAGUCUGUCGCUGGACAAUGAUGAGUUCUAGAGCAAUUGUGGACUGUGUUUGUAAAUGGAGGCAGAUGCUACCGUUGAUCAUUUUUCACUGUACGUUUCUUCCUUCUGGUUGGUUGUACGUGCUCUGCUGCAAUUUCAAGCGAACAGAUUUCAGCA